RNAcentral lists this transfer RNA (65 nucleotides) under Dipodomys ordii (Ord's kangaroo rat). It matches the Rfam family "tRNA". From Rfam's summary of the family: Transfer RNA (tRNA) molecules are approximately 80 nucleotides in length. Their secondary structure includes four short double-helical elements and three loops (D, anti-codon, and T loops). Further hydrogen bonds mediate the characteristic L-shaped molecular structure. tRNAs have two regions of fundamental functional importance: the anti-codon, which is responsible for specific mRNA codon recognition, and the 3' end, to which the tRNAs corresponding amino acid is attached (by aminoacyl-tRNA synthetases). tRNAs cope with the degeneracy of the genetic code in two manners: having more than one tRNA (with a specific anti-codon) for a particular amino acid; and 'wobble' base-pairing, i.e. permitting non-standard base-pairing at the 3rd anti-codon position. The record is from Rfam by way of RNAcentral. Lineage: Eukaryota; Metazoa; Chordata; Mammalia; Rodentia; Heteromyidae.
GGUGGCUCAGGGGUAGAGUGCUUGCCUUGCAUGCAAGAGGCCCUGGGUUUCAUUCCUCAGCACCA